This 21-nucleotide non-coding RNA is filed under the name Caenorhabditis elegans. Lineage: Eukaryota; Metazoa; Nematoda; Chromadorea; Rhabditida; Rhabditidae. The record is from RNAcentral.
UCUAUUAGUUUGUCUUUGUGA